UACGUAGGGUGCAGGCGUUAAUCGGAAUUACUGGGCGUAAAGCGUGCGCAGGCGGUCUUUUAAGUCAGAUGUGAAAUCCCCGGGCUUAACCUGGGAACUGCGUUUGAAACUGGAAGGCUUGAGUGUGGCAGAGGGGGGUGGAAUUCCGCGUGUAGCAGUGAAAUGCGUAGAGAUGCGGAGGAACACCGAUGGCGAAGGCAGCCCCCUGGGCCGACACUGACGCUCAGGCACGAAAGCGUGGGGAGCAAACAGG
RNAcentral lists this ribosomal RNA (253 nucleotides) under uncultured bacterium. Its description in RNAcentral is "partial 16S ribosomal RNA". It matches the Rfam family "Bacterial small subunit ribosomal RNA", at positions 524 to 776 of the family's 1533-position model. The record is from RNAcentral.